This 926-nucleotide long non-coding RNA is filed under the name Olea europaea subsp. europaea. The record is from RNAcentral. Lineage: Eukaryota; Viridiplantae; Streptophyta; Magnoliopsida; Lamiales; Oleaceae.
AUCAAUUCUUAAUUGAGGGAUUCAAAUCUCGAAAAUCUCUCGCAACCACCAUUUCUAAAAUCUCUCUCUCUCUCUUUGCCUAAAGGAUUCAAGCCCUCCUUGGCUCCACUGUUGGCGCCGUUGCCACAGCUGAAGAAAAACCCAUCACGAAUUCUAAAUAUUUUCAAGAUGACUGUCGGAAGAAAAUCUAAUGCAUUAGUUGAUUAUAAUAACCUCCUCUGCCUGAUCGAGCACCCAGUUUGAGCCAGAUGGGAGCGAUUUGCAAGCAGUAGGAUAUUUCUGCUAAUUUUGAUUGGAUAAAAAACCCAGAUUGUACCGGAAGCUGGAGAAUUUGAGUCCGAUGAAGAGGGUAUAAUUCCGUUCUCGGCACCGAUAAUGGUGGCCUUCGGUGGUUCUAUAGUGGCGUUGGAGCCAAGGAAAUUAAUCUGUGGAAAAGAAGAACUGUGGUUCGACAUUGUCCCAUUUAUCCAUUUUAUUGUGAAAGCCAAGCCCACGCAGGGUACAAAAUAGUCUGAAGCGGGAAUUUCCAAUUUUUUUCUUUAUUUUAUAAACUUUCCAUUUCGAUUGAAAUUUGAAGUUUGUCAAGUAUAAAUGGGAUUGCUAUUUCUGAAUAAUGUAGAUAAUUGAUUUAAAUAUCGAGUGAUUAAAAUUAUUUGCCCUACAAUUUCUCUUCCAGAUCUUUUAUUUUCAUUUCUCUUCUUCCUUUCUCCCAUUCUGUCAACCAUGUGAACAGUCUCUUCAACAAAAGAUUUAAAAGCUUUUCUCAGGGUUGCUGAAUAAAGCAUUUGGGAAAAAUGUUGGGGUUAAUCUGUAGAAGAUGUCGGCAGAUGUAAAAUGUUGGGCAAAUCACACCCACUAACAUAAGCUUGGCUUAGAGGGAGCUUGUUAUUCAGCCUCGGUGGUGGUGGCAGUAGCAGCGACGACGG